GUUGUAAACCUCUUUUAGCAGGGAAGAAGCGAAAGUGACGGUACCUGCAGAAAAAGCGCCGGCUAACUACGUGCCAGCAGCCGCGGUAAUACGUAGGGCGCAAGCGUUAUCCGGAAUUAUUGGGCGUAAAGAGCUCGUAGGCGGUUUGUCGCGUCUGCUGUGAAAUCCCGAGGCUCAACCUCGGGCCUGCAGUGGGUACGGGCAGACUAGAGUGCGGUAGGGGAGAUUGGAAUUCCUGGUGUAGCGGUGGAAUGCGCAGAUAUCAGGAGGAACACCGAUGGCGAAGGCAGAACUCUGGGCCGUAACUGACGCUGAGGAGCGAAAGGGUGGGGAGCAAACAGGCAUAGAUACCCUGGUAGUCCACCCCGUAAACGUUGGGAACUAGUUGUGGGGACCAUUCCACGGUUUCCGUGACGCAGCUAACGCAUUAAGUUCCCCGCCUGGGGAGUACGGCCGCAAGGCUAAAACUCAAAGGAAUUGACGGGGACCCGCACAAGCGGCGGAGCACGCGGAUUAAUUCGAUGCAACGCGAAGAACCUUACCAAGGCUUGACAUAUACGAGAACGGGCCAGAAAUGGUCAACUCUUU
RNAcentral lists this ribosomal RNA (588 nucleotides) under Microbacterium sp. Ri3Pt_4347. Its description in RNAcentral is "bacterial SSU rRNA". It matches the Rfam family "Bacterial small subunit ribosomal RNA", at positions 422 to 1019 of the family's 1533-position model. The record is from RNAcentral. Lineage: Bacteria; Bacillati; Actinomycetota; Actinomycetes; Micrococcales; Microbacteriaceae.